Molecule: ribosomal RNA, 326 nt
Filed under: uncultured eukaryote
Lineage: Eukaryota
Description: partial 18S ribosomal RNA
Rfam family: Eukaryotic small subunit ribosomal RNA
Source: RNAcentral
CCCUUAGAUGUUCUGGGCUGCACGCGCGCUACACUGAUGCGUUCAACAAGUUGGACCUCGUCCGAGAGGAAAUCGGGGGAAUCUUUUGAAAACGUAUCGUGAUGGGGAUAGAUUAUUGUAAUUAUUAAUCUUCAACGAGGAAUUCCUAGUAAGCAUGAGUCAUCAGCUCGUGCUGAUUACGUCCCUGCCCUUUGUACACACCGCCCGUCGCUCCUACCGAUUGAGUGGUCCGGUGAAUUAACCAGAUUGUGGCGAGGGUAGUUUUCUGCUAUUGCUACGAAAAGGUUUGUGAACCUUAUCACUUAGAGGAAGGAGAAGUCGUAACA